This 301-nucleotide ribosomal RNA is filed under the name uncultured bacterium. RNAcentral describes it as "partial 16S ribosomal RNA". It matches the Rfam family "Bacterial small subunit ribosomal RNA", at positions 509 to 807 of the family's 1533-position model. The record is from RNAcentral.
CAGCCGCCGCGGGAACACGUAGGGGGCGAGCGUUGUCCGAAGUUACUGGGCGUAAAGAGCGCGUAGGCGGAUCUUUAAGUGAGGGGUGAAAGUCCGGGGCUCAACUCCGGAACUGCCUUUCAUACUGGAGACCUUGAGUGUGGGAGAGGCGAGUGGAAUGGUCGGUGUAGCGGUGAAAUGCGUAGAUAUCGAUCGGAACACCCAUGGCGAAGGCAGCUCGCUGGCCUAUAACUGACGCUGAGGCGCGAAAGCGUGGGGAGCAAACAGGAUUAGAGACCCGCGUAGUCCCUGUCUCUUAUAC